CUGUGUCACCUCUCUCUUGCAAAGCACCCUUGGCAGGCACCGCAGCUCCCUGAGUGACUUUGGGAACAGUGGGUGCUGCCUGGUUGCAUUUGGGAUCACUUGGAACAUGAUGUGUUUAAAGCCAGCUUAAGUCUCACAAAGACCUGUAGAUAACACCCAAACAAAAGGCUGUGCUGGGGCCAUUUUGCACUUUCUGAAAUGUUUCUCAGAAUUUGGGUUCACAGGAAAUUGCAACUUUCCGGUCUGAUUCAGGAAAACAUGAAAUGUCAGAUUUUUCUGUGGAACAGAGAUUUCAGCACUCAUUCAGCUCAGCCAGCAGGUGAGGAGAAGCUUAACAGCAACACAUGGAGUUAGUGUCCACCACAGUAAUCCCUUGAGCAAAGAGCACACGAGGCUGGAAAACUCUGAAAGGGAAGUCAGAAUGACCCUAACAGAAAACCUUUCCUGAAGGAAACCACAUCUGUUCAAGCUGGCAUGGAGGACUGUUCUCAGGAGGAGCGAGAUGCAAAGUUCAAGGGAACUGCCUGUGAAGACACACGCUGACGGUGCUGGGUUAUAUAAUGUGCCUUGGUGUGAGGAAGCUCUUUGUUCUAUUUACAAAUCCCUGUAUUACUGACAAGGAAACUUUGAUGGCUGCCUUCCAAAGACAACAAUGAAGAAAGAAAGAAAGGUUUUACAAGUGUAAUUACAAAGCAAUUAAAUGUGGGAGCAGUGAGGAAGACUGCACCAAGGAACACUGAGCCUAUUUGUUUGAAAACUCCACAGGUGCUGGUUACAGCUUUGAAACACCAAGGUUAUUGUGUCUGAAGAGCAUUGUUUCAUCCACAAAGAGGUCAAAUACCGGAGAACAUUCUUGGAUAUUAUGUGAGAUUUAAACGAGACUUGUUCCUCAAAGUCUACCUUAUAAACCAGUUUAUCUGACACAAAAGCUCCCAAACCCUGAGAAAACUCAGGGUGAGAUUGGAAUAUCAAGGGAGAGGCCACAAAAUCAUGAAUAAUGCAGAGUAGAGGGAUAGAGAAUGAAUAAUCACUAUUUGCUAUAGCACGAGAACACUGAUUUUCAUUAAAAAAACAAUCACAGUCAUUUUUCUCUGCAGAAACAGGCUUUCAUUAAGCAGAUUCCUCUAAGCCAAUCUCUGGGACUCUGCCUCUACUAUUCACUUUUCUGUACUCCUCAGUAAAUAUUUAGACUGAAUGGUGUAGAGCAGAAAUGUCCUCUGGGAAUAACCCUUGAUACCUGUCACUAAAUCCAUUCUAUAUGUUUUCUGGUGAACAGUUUGGCUGUAGAGUAGAUGCUGUUCUUGAUAUUCAAUGAAAAAUUUCCCUAAAUACUUUGGGAAAGAAAAGCAUUUAUUUGUUAAAAGCACAUUAUAAAUAAUUAUAAGGUAGGGAUAAUCCUUCCAAGUUUUGUUCAAACUCCAUUUCAGACAUCAGGAGUCCUUUAUCUCAGCUCUCUAUCUAGGAAAAUAUUUACCCAUUAUAAUGACCUAAUCACAGGAAGGGGCCAGGGCCCAAUUUUCUCGUUUGCCUGCCUGUCUCAUUGUGGGGUGAGGCUUGAUGCAGGGUGUGUACCAGUCCCAGAUCCCUGUGCAGAGCCUGCAGUUGGUGCUCAACACCAACAGCAUUAACCAAUGCAGUUCUCUGGGUGCUGGGGACAGAGUCUGGGUGCUCUCAAACGCUGCCUUGUGAUAUUCAGCUUCUCCAUCAGGGCCUUCCUACCAUUUGUGCACCUCUAGGAAGCUGUGGAGAGACACCAAUGUGGCUAAAGCAAGGCUGAGUAGGUUGUUGUAAAGAAUGAGUGAAAGAUCGUAACUGAAAGACAUGUGAACCAUUCUGCUUAGGACAAAAGCAGAGCAGGAAUGUGCCCAGAUGAAGUCAUGGACAUUCAAAGAGUUGAGCUGCUGUGUUUCCACAGGUGAAGUUGCAAGCUGAUCCCUCUGUAAUAAGAUAGGGUGGGAAAGGUUAUAUAAUUAGGUUGCUUGUUGCCUUAAGCCUUCCUUCUCUGUAAUGCUAAAUAAAACAAAUGCUUCAAGGAUAUAGGUUGUUAUCCCUGAUCUGCUGCCCAAAGGGAGGAAACAGAGGGUGGUAAACAGCUGACACAUGGGUGUAGACAGUUUUUGAUUUAAUAGUGGAGAAAGGUGGCAUUUUUCAGUCUAUGCUUGGGAGGGGUGAGAUGUUGAACAGGUGAGAUGGGCCUCCAGAAGUUCUGCAAAUGCUGGAACCUUGUGGCUGCAAAUACCAAUUGAAUUUUUUUCCUCUUUUCCCUCCAGUAGGUGUGGGACCAAGAAACAAAAGUGGCACCAAAAUGCCACCUUUCCUGAAGCUCUGGAGCCAUGUGACUAUCUCUAAAAGCUCUGUGCAGAUCAGGUAUUUGUAAAUAUACUGCUUCAGGCUCACAACCUCAGCCAGCCCUUGCUAGGAACCUUACCACAUUCUGGAGUUGUGGUGUGUCUGUAGCAUCAAACAGACACUUGAAGUGUUCUGAGAGAGGGGACAGAAUACACAUAGGUGACUGACAUCUUAAGGAUUUGCCAAGGUGCCAGUGAGAUCCUAAGGUUUCUCAAAUGCAGCCACAAACUCAGUGUUCUCAGGUUAUUACUUUGAAGGAAAGAUGGUGCUUGCAGCACACAUUUACUCUCAAAUUGCCCACUAAAUUAGAGACAAUUUGGAAGAGAUCUAUGAGCAAUCUGGUUUAGCUCUCUGCAGACAUUCCUCUCCAGCCACAAGCAGCUCAUGAGCAGUUUGAGCCCAGCUCCAGUGCCAGGGAUCUGUCACCUCACUGGCAGCAGGGCUGGGCUGUCUCCUUGGUGAUCCAAAUUUUUGAUGGUGUGAGGAAAUGCGCACUCAGGGAUGGCUGAGCUCAGGGAUACUGAGGUGCCCUGCAUUGCCUCUGUGUCCCAAAGUGGGACGGAGCAAAUGGAACAACCUGUGGGCAGAGAUGCUCUUGGUCAAGAUCAAACAUGGGCUGAAAUGGGUCUAUAAAAAUUCUUGAGUCAUUCCAUAUUUAUGUGCUAUAAGGUAUACAGAGUUUUGAAGGUAAGUAAUGGAGGUAAGGAGUCCAUCACUUUCAUAGCCCAGAGAGAUCUCCCAGAGCCUAGGAAAGGGCUGUUGUCUCCUUUUAUUGAUGGUGCACUGAGGCACAAAGCUCCAGAGUACUGGGGAGAAACAUGUUGGACAAAUGUUUCUCAUUAAGAAAUGUUUAUUUGUCAGACAUGAUUCCUUUCAUGUAGUGUGUGUGGGAGUGUAUCCAUUUUAGCAAGAUACUCUAGGAAAUGUUUUCUUGGAGUCAGCAUGGAAUUUCUGGCUGAAAUGUUCCUUGGUUGUGGCAUGGUUAUUCCUGGGCUGGCUGGGAGUGUGUAGGUCACAUCUUGGAGCUGAGGCUAGCAAGGUGGGGAAUUAAAACAAGUAAAACUGAUUCUCAGUCACUUCUGGCACUGUGAUUUGUUUUUCACUGCAUGCUUUUUGUCUUUUGUUACAAGGGAGAAAGUCCUCCAAAAUGCUGAGAAGUUCUGUUUUUGUCACAGUAGAGAUGAGAAAGAUUCCAGACUCUCCAAGAUAUUGGCAAAUGGUGGAAGCUUUUCCAGCUCAGUUCAAACUGCAAUUUUCCCCAAGUCCCACAUCUGUUCUCUUGCAGAGCUGCAUACUUAACCCUGCUUUCCUGGAUAGAAAUUAAUGUAAAUAAAACAAUUUGCUUUUGAAAACUACUGCUGCCUAAUCACCUAGUGGAGAAAGGGCAAAACUGGCAGCCAGAAACUGGAGACCCAGCAGCCAUGUCCUCUCCUGUUGACUUCAUUGUCCUCUCCUUUUGACUCCAUUGUCCUCUGUUUACAAGCUGGCUUUAAAUCAUUUAGGACCUCUGUAGGCGUUUUGAAGCACUUCACACAGGACACCUCCUGAGCCAGCAAGUCCAGAGCUUUGCUGUUGCACAGGGCACUGUCUGAUGGCACCAUGGGAUCUGGGCUACCUAACAGCCCAGCAUCAACCUCAAGUUACUGGGAACAUCCACCUCAAGUUACUUGUCUUUGCCAUUACCAACUGCACAGCUGAUUUCUUUGAUUUCUUAAACUCUUCUCAUCAAUCCUGUUCUUCGCUCAAGUCUGUCCAAAGGCUCAGAAAGCGAAAUGGAAAUGUCCAGGGGUCAAGCACUGAAAUCAAGUUUUGUUCAGAUGAAAACUAUCAAGAGAGAAUAUGCUACCUCUGAGCAGGGUGGCUAGAGGGUCACUGGCUUAUUUUGCAGUCUUGCCAAAAAACUCCUCUUGGAUGUGUUGUUCAAUGCAGUUCAGACUGAUUUUCAUCCAGAAGAGCUCUUCAUAUUUUAAUUUUGGUUUCCUUUUUCUUUUCCUUUGUUCAUUGUGAAUUAUUUAUCCUGUGUUUCACCAAGGGAGUCUAAUUUUCUCAUCUUCUCCUUUCCUAAUAUUUAAGAUCUCUCUAGGUGUCUCUGCAAUACACCCAUGUUCCCUGAUUGAAGGAGUUACAGACAAAACCCGCAGUUGGCAUUUUUAGCUUGCAGAGAUAAUAUUUUUGUGGCUGUAUAUAUUUCUAUGUGCUGUAACUCUAUUUACUUUAGCAGAAGAGUCCUUAAGAUUGACGAAUGAAGAAGCAUAUUUAAAAUAUGUAUCUUGCAAAUGUGUUAAUGCCUAUAUAGGCUAUAGGUCCCUGUGGAAAUAAGAAGAGGCAUUCUUUUAAUAAACAAUGGAGCACAUCCAGUUUUCUUCCUACUUAAGUUAUUUCCAGCACAUUCACUAAAAUGCUACCAGAUUCAAUAAUAUUUGUCUUUUUCUUGGCUUCUUACAUAUAUAGCUUUCUUCCGUGACAACAAGUCCAAGAUUUUUUGGAGCUGAAGCAGGAAUGAUGAUGUGUUUUUGUUGUUGUUGUUCUUCUAACCAGCUGUCUUUGCUCAUCUUGCUGUCACUAGGAGAAGACAUCUGCUUAGUACAUUCAAUAUUUUCACUUUGAAUCUCAACAGGGAGGUCAGAGCCCAUGCAAAAAUGUCCCCCAAAAUAUUUUGUUACCACAAAUAUUUCUUUUAAGACUGGGGUACUUUGUUUAUUCAG
Passer domesticus (house sparrow) is the source of this 5054-nucleotide long non-coding RNA. RefSeq lists it as uncharacterized. The record is from RefSeq and is a predicted model, not a curated record. The transcript has 3 exons. NCBI's taxonomy places the organism in Eukaryota, Metazoa, Chordata, Aves, Passeriformes, Passeridae.